Molecule: ribosomal RNA, 253 nt
Filed under: uncultured bacterium
Lineage: Bacteria
Description: partial 16S ribosomal RNA
Rfam family: Bacterial small subunit ribosomal RNA
Source: RNAcentral
UACGGGGGGGGCAAGCGUUGUUCGGAAUUACUGGGCGUAAAGGGCUCGUAGGCGGCCAACUAAGUCAUACGUGAAAUCCCUCGGCUUAACCGGGGAACUGCGUCUGAUACUGGAUGGCUUGAGUUCGGGAGAGGGAUGCGGAAUUCCAGGUGUAGCGGUGAAAUGCGUAGAUAUCUGGAGGAACACCGGUGGCGAAGGCGGCAUCCUGGACCGACACUGACGCUGAGGAGCGAAAGCCAGGGGAGCGAACAGG